AUUUAUAUAGUUUAAAUAAAACAUUACAUUUUCAUUGUAAAAAUAAAAAAAAAUUUUUUAUAAAUA
Molecule: transfer RNA, 66 nt
Filed under: Ectropis obliqua
Lineage: Eukaryota; Metazoa; Arthropoda; Insecta; Lepidoptera; Geometridae
Description: tRNA-Glu
Source: RNAcentral